Long non-coding RNA from Anguilla rostrata (American eel), 2062 nucleotides. RefSeq lists it as uncharacterized. The record is from RefSeq and is a predicted model, not a curated record. NCBI's taxonomy places the organism in Eukaryota, Metazoa, Chordata, Actinopteri, Anguilliformes, Anguillidae. The transcript has 3 exons.
ACUGAGGAGGUAAAGGAGUUUUCACCUGUGUAGCCCACUGAAGAAUCUAAUAUCUGAUUGGUGAGAAGGAGCUGCAGGUACAGAGCUGAAGGACCAGUUCGGUGGACUCUGGUGGCCUCUACAGGUGUACUCACAACUGUGCAGGCCUGCUAUUUCACACAGGUGAAAUGAGAGAGUCAGAUCUGAAGCAGUGGAAUUCUUCUGUAUGUGAUGUCUGAAGCAGAGGAACUGUACUGUGUAUGUUGUCUGAAGAGAAGGAACUACUAUAUGUGAAUUUUGAAGCAUGACAUCUAUACUAUAUAUUAAGUCUGAAGCAGGGAAACUGUACUGUAUGUGAUGUCUGAAGCAGGAAAACUACUGUAUACUACGUCUUAAGCAAAGAAACAAAUGUAUUUGAACCUGGAAGCAAGAGAACACUAAUGUGUGUGAAUUUUGAAGCAGGGCAUCUCUACUUCAUAUAAAUUCUGAAGCAGGGGAACUGCAUUGUCUGAGAAUUUUGAAGCAGGGGAACUGUACUGUGUAUGUUGUCUGAAGAGAAGGAACUACUAUAUGUGAAUUUUGAAGCAUGACAUCUAUACUAUAUAUUAAGUCUGAAGCUGAGGAACUGUACUGUACAUGAUAUCUGAAGCAGGGAAACUGUACUGUAUGUGAUGUCUGAAGCAGGAAAACUACUGUAUACUACGUCUUAAGCAAAGAAACAAAUGUAUUUGAACCUGGAAGCAAGAGAACACUAAUGUGUGUGAAUUUUGAAGCAGGGCAUCUCUACUUCAUAUAAAUUCUGAAGCAGGGGAACUGCAUUGUCUGAGAAUUUUGAAGCAGGGGAACUCUACUGUGUGUGACGUCCAGAUUUUCUUGUAUUGCAGCCAUGGCCAGAAAAACAGCUAUGAUAUCUCUUAUGACCUGGAAUAUUAAUUGGCUUAAGAGUAAAGUGUCUGAUGUCACUAAAGCAGCCGAAGAGAACAAUGUGGACAUUGUAUUUCUUCAGGAGACUCGAAUUGGAACACAGGACGGAUAUGUAUUUCGCAUGUUAGAAAAAUGGCGCACAUUUUACACAAAGAAUGAUUCAUGCACAAGAGGAGUUGCCAUCCUCAUUAAAAAGGACAUUGAUUGUAAGUUGAGUGGGAAAUCUAUAAAAGAUUCUGGAUGUUACAUCAUAGUGAAAUGUGAACUACGAGGCCAGCCUUUCACCCUUGUGAAUGUGUACAGCCACAAGUCAAAAAAAAAUAUUUGGGACAAAGUCAGUCGGCACCUACAAAACAGUGCAGACAGUGUGUUGGUGAUUGGAGGAGACUUCAAUACUGCUCUCAACCCAUAUUUGGACAGGACAUCUAUAACCAUAAACAAAAAACAUGAAGCUUGGCGGAAAUGUAUUGCAAAAUUGACUACAUUCUUCCACCUUGUGGAUGUCUGGAGAAGAAUGAACCGAACAAAGAUACAAUACACUUACUCUAAAAAUGAUUACAAGUCCAGGUUAGAUUACAUUUUCAUGCAGGAAGAGGCCAUGUGGCGAGUUAACACCUGUGAGAUCCUUGACACUGUAGAGGACUCGGACCAUAAACCUGUCUGUCUUCAGCUUACCUCAACACCAUCCAGCCAUGAUCCCCCUCCAGACACAGAUCUCUAUUUUCACGUGGCUCCAAUACUGGCCUGGCACCUGGAGGAGCAUUUUAAAGAUAUGACAGCACAAACAGAAGAGGCAAUGGACAAAACCAAGAGUCUGCUAGUGAUCCAUCUAGGAAGAAAAGAGAAGGUAAAGUGGUCUUUACUGAAGGAGGCAAUAGAAGCACUGAACAAUCCCCUUCUUAAAUCCAUUCUCUUUGACAAGCUGUUGAGAAGAUCAGACCUGGACCAGAACUGCAAACAGCUACAGCAUGGCUGUCCCCUCACCACAGCCCUGUUAAAAUUGUGUGUCACACACUUAGUGUGCAAAGUGAAAACAGAUGAACUCUUCCCAUCAGGCAUGACAACAGGAACUCUCAUCUACGGUGAAACUGUCAUGAUGAGCCUUUCAUUCAAAGCCAAUGAAAUACUGAAGGUAAGGCGGUCUUUGCUGCAGAAGCCA